This 254-nucleotide ribosomal RNA is filed under the name uncultured bacterium. Its description in RNAcentral is "partial 16S ribosomal RNA". It matches the Rfam family "Bacterial small subunit ribosomal RNA", at positions 524 to 776 of the family's 1533-position model. The record is from RNAcentral.
GACGAACCGUGCAAACGUUAUUCGGAAUAACUGGGCUUAAAGCGCGCGUAGGCGGCGUCGCAAGUCGAUGGUGAAAUCCCAACGGCUCAACCGUGGAAUUGCCUUCGAUACUGCGAUGCUCGAGGGAGGUAGGGGCAUGUGGAACUUCCAGUGGAGCGGUGAAAUGUGUUGAGAUUGGAAGGAACGCCGGUGGCGAAAGCGACAUGCUGGAUCUCUUCUGACGCUGAGGCGCGAAAGCUAGGGUAGCGAACGGG